RNAcentral lists this ribosomal RNA (2479 nucleotides) under bioreactor metagenome. RNAcentral describes it as "bacterial LSU rRNA". It matches the Rfam family "Bacterial large subunit ribosomal RNA", at positions 590 to 2925 of the family's 2925-position model. The record is from RNAcentral.
CGGAUGGCGGUGUGCCUAUUGAAGAAUGAGCCGGCGAGUUACGGUACGUGGCGAGGUUAAGGGCUUGGAGGUCUGUAGCCGCAGGGAAACCGAGUCUUAAAGAGGGCGAAAUAGUCUCGUAUCGUAGACCCGAAGCCGUACGAUCUAUCCAUGGGCAGGUUGAAGCCUCGGUGAAACGAGGUGGAGGACCGAACCAAUGCCUGUUGAAAAAGUCUUGGAUGACCUGUGGAUAGGAGUGAAAAGCUAAUCGAGUACGGUGAUAGCUGGUUCUCCCCGAAAUGCAUUGAGGUGCAGCCUCGUAUAUUGGAAAGUGUCGGGGGUAGAGCUACUGGAUGGAUGAGGGGGACUGGGGUUCUACCGAUUUCAACCAAACUCCGAAUACCGGCACUGGAUGUACGGGAGUGAGACUACGGGUGAGAAGGUCCGUGGUCGAGAGGGAAACAGCCCAGACCGACAGCUAAGGUCCCCAAGCCCGCGCUGAGUGUGACAAGGAUGUGGGGGAGCCCAGACAGCCAGGAGGUUGGCUUAGAAGCAGCCACCCUUGAAAGAGUGCGUAACAGCUCACUGGUCGAGCGCCCCUGCGCCGAUAAUGUAGGGGGCUAAGCGCGGCGCCGAAGCUUCGGAAUGAGUGUGCGAAUGCAUGCUGAUUGGUAGGGGAGCGUUCUGUACGGGGUGAAGUCGUGCCGUGAGGCAUGGUGGACUGUACGGAAGAGAGAAUGCCGGCAUAAGUAGCGAGAAACGCGUGAGAAACGCGUUCGCCGAAAGCCCAAGGAUUCCUGGGGAAGGUUAAUCCGCCCAGGGUUAGGCGGGACCUAAGGUGAGGCCGAAGGGCGUAGCCGAUGGACAGCAGGUAGACAUUCCUGCCCCGCCCUGAUGACGUUAUGACCGAAGGGGUGACGCAAGAGGCUAGGUGCUCCGGGUGAUGGAAUACCCGGUACAAGGAUGUAGGGGGACGGACCAGGGAAAUCCGGUCUGUUUUAUAACCCUGAGAUCUGAUGUGGAUUCGCCGUAAUGGCGGAGAAGUCAUUGAGGCCAAAUUGCCUAGAAAAGCCUCUAGGGAGGAAUCGGGGCGCCCGUACCCGAAACCGACACAGGUGGGCUGGCUGAGCAGGCUAAGGCGGACGAGGUAACCCUCACCAAGGAACUCUGCAAGUUGACCCCGUAACUUAGGGAGAAGGGGUGCCGCAGCGGUGAAGUGUUUGACAUACGGAGCCGCGUGCGGUCGCAGAAACCAGGCCCAGGCGACUGUUUACUAAAAACACAGGACUCUGCUGAAGGCGUGAAGCCGACGUAUAGGGUCUGACACCUGCCCGGUGCUGGAAGGUUAAGGGGAGAGGUUAUCCGGCACUCAGCUGAUAUCAUCGGUUGAGUUGCAGGCAAGCAUUCGCUGUAUUUUUCAAGGAUCAUAGUUUGCGAGAUUUGGCGGAUGGUAUCUGCUGAGUGCCGGAGAAGCUUUGAACCGAAGCCCCAGUAAACGGCGGCCGUAACUAUAACGGUCCUAAGGUAGCGAAAUUCCUUGUCAGGUAAGUUCUGACCUGCACGAAUGGUGUAACGAUCUGGGCGCUGUCUCGGUGGGGGACUCGGUGAAAUUGUGGUACCGGUAAAGACGCCGGUUACCCGUGGUGGGACGGGAAGACCCCGUGGAGCUUUACUGUAGCCUGAUAUUGGAUUUCGGUAUGUCAUGUACAGGAUAGGUGGGAGGCGUAGAAGGCAUGGCGUCAGCUGUGCUGGAGCCGUCGUUGGGAUACCACCCUUGAUGUACUGGGGUUCUAACCGCAAGGGUCUGAAUCGGCCUGCGGGACAUUGUCAGGUGGGCAGUUUGACUGGGGCGGUCGCCUCCUAAAGAGUAACGGAGGCGCGCGAAGGUCACCUCGAGGCGAAUGGAAAUCGCCUGUGAGAGUGCAAGGGUAUAAGGUGGCCUUACUGAGAGACCGACAGGUCGAUCAGUCUCGAAAGAGGGUCCUAGUGAUCCGGCGGUACCGAGUGGAAGGGCCGUCGCUCAUCGGAUAAAAGCUACCCCGGGGAUAACAGGCUGAUCUUGCCCGAGAGUUCCCAUCGACGGCAAGGUUUGGCACCUCGAUGUCGGCUCGUCGCAUCCUGGGGCUGAAGCAGGUCCCAAGGGUUGGUCUGUUCGCCCAUUAAAGCGGUACGUGAGCUGGGUUUAGAACGUCGUGAGACAGUUCGGUCCCUAUCCACCAUGGGCGCAAGUGGUUUGAGGGGAGCUGCUCCUAGUACGAGAGGACCGGAGUGGACGCACCGCUGGUGUACCGGUUGUGCCGCCAGGCGCAUCGGCCGGGUAGCUAUGUGCGGAACGGAUAACCGCUGAAAGCAUCUAAGUGGGAAGCCGGCCCCGAGAUGAGACCACUCACCGCGGAUAAAGCGGGUAAGGUAACACGGAGACUACGUGAUCGAUAGGCCAGAGGUGUAAGGGCUGCGAGGCCUUGAGCUGACUGGUACUAAUUGACCGAGGCCUUAACCU